GUGCUUAGCUGGCAGGGGAGAGGCCCCGAUGGUGAAGGUGGUUUUCCCAGAGCGAGGUCCGUCCAUUGCAUUCCGGACGUGCUGCCCCCUGCGAUUGCUCCAGGUGUGGGAAACUGCAUACCCUGUGGCGAUGAGCAAUUGCGUUUGCACUCUCC
Ochotona princeps (American pika) is the source of this 155-nucleotide small nuclear RNA. Its record names the gene U1. It matches the Rfam family "U1 spliceosomal RNA". Rfam says of the family: U1 is a small nuclear RNA (snRNA) component of the spliceosome (involved in pre-mRNA splicing). Its 5' end forms complementary base pairs with the 5' splice junction, thus defining the 5' donor site of an intron. The record is from Ensembl. Lineage: Eukaryota; Metazoa; Chordata; Mammalia; Lagomorpha; Ochotonidae.